AGAUUGAACGCUGGCGGCAUGCCUUACACAUGCAAGUCGAACGAGAAAGUGGAGCAAUCCAUGAGUAAAGUGGCGCACGGGUGAGUAACACGUGACUAACCUACCCUUGAGUGGGGAUAACCUCGGAAACCGGGCUAAUACCGCAUAAUAUCGAGAGAUCAAAGGAGCAAUUCGCUUAAGGAGGGGGUCGCGGCUGAUUAGCUAGUUGGUGAGGUAAUGGCUCGACCAAGGCUAUGAUCAGUA
Molecule: ribosomal RNA, 243 nt
Filed under: uncultured bacterium
Lineage: Bacteria
Description: partial small subunit ribosomal RNA
Rfam family: Bacterial small subunit ribosomal RNA
Source: RNAcentral